RNAcentral lists this non-coding RNA (24 nucleotides) under Rattus norvegicus (Norway rat). The record is from RNAcentral. Lineage: Eukaryota; Metazoa; Chordata; Mammalia; Rodentia; Muridae.
CCUGAGAUAGUCUGCCUCACUAAA